Molecule: long non-coding RNA, 319 nt
Organism: Hippocampus zosterae (dwarf seahorse)
Lineage: Eukaryota; Metazoa; Chordata; Actinopteri; Syngnathiformes; Syngnathidae
Exons: 2
Source: RefSeq, a predicted model, not a curated record
UAUUAUUGAACAAUUUUCUAUUCCAUAACAUUUGUAGGCUUAUCCAGGCUAUCAGACCGCUACAUCACCAAUGACUAUUUGUUUGACACAUUGUAACAGAUAUAUUUUAUUCAUAGAAAUGCCACAUAUUUACAUACAUAUUAAAAAAAAAAACUUGGACCAACAGUGUCCACAUCAGGUGCCAUUUUCACAGUGGAUUACUUCAGAGUGAUUUAUGUGUGCAUUGAUUUCGCCUCAUGAUACAAAAAAAUAAUAAUACUGACAGGGCAAUAACUUUCAACGGCAGGAUGUGCAGUUGUUUCCAGCCUUGUAUUCACAA